UACGUAGGGGGCGAGCGUUGUCCGGAAUUACUGGGCGUAAAGGGUGCGUAGGUGGUUUCUUAAGUCAGAGGUGAAAGGCUACGGCUCAACCGUAGUAAGCCUUUGAAACUGGGAAACUUGAGUGCAGGAGAGGAGAGUAGAAUUCCUAGUGUAGCGGUGAAAUGCGUAGAUAUUAGGAGGAAUACCAGUUGCGAAGGCGGCUCUCUGGACUGUAACUGACACUGAGGCACGAAAGCGUGGGGAGCAAACAGGAUUAGAUACCCGCGUAGUCCCUGAGCGGG
This 281-nucleotide ribosomal RNA is filed under the name uncultured prokaryote. RNAcentral describes it as "partial 16S ribosomal RNA". It matches the Rfam family "Bacterial small subunit ribosomal RNA", at positions 524 to 803 of the family's 1533-position model. The record is from RNAcentral.